GAAAUGCGAUACGUAGUGUGAAUUGCAGAAUUCAGUGAAUCAUCGAAUCUUUGAACGCACAUUGCGCCCCUUGGUAUUCCAUGGGGCAUGCCUGUUCGAGCGUCAUUUGUACCCUCAAGCUCUGCUUGGUGUUGGGUGUUUGUCCCGUCUCCGCGCGUGGACUCGCCCCAAAGUGAUUGGCAGCCGGCGUACUGGUCUCGGAGCGCAGCACAUGUCGCGCAAACGAGUGCCUUGGUACGGCGGCGUCCAUAAGCCCCUCUCUCACGCUCUUGACCUCGGAUCAGGUAGGGAUACCCGCUGAACUUAAGC
Molecule: unclassified non-coding RNA, 309 nt
Filed under: plant metagenome
Description: partial contains 5.8S ribosomal RNA, internal transcribed spacer 2, and large subunit ribosomal RNA
Rfam family: 5.8S ribosomal RNA (bases 1-105)
Source: RNAcentral